Molecule: small RNA, 168 nt
Filed under: Arabidopsis thaliana (thale cress)
Lineage: Eukaryota; Viridiplantae; Streptophyta; Magnoliopsida; Brassicales; Brassicaceae
Description: ATSL290770
Source: RNAcentral
AUUUAGAUUGAUAAAAAAAUUCGGUGAUUUUUUGGAUAUUGCAUAAUUAGGACACCAUGUGAUUAAAUAAAUUGAAUUUCGUUUUUUUGGCCCAAUGACAUAGUUGUACACGAGUGUACCAGUUGUACCUAAAAACUUAGAUUCAUACAUGACACAAACUCUAAAAUA